RNAcentral lists this unclassified non-coding RNA (406 nucleotides) under Zea mays. RNAcentral describes it as "misc RNA Zm00001eb324610". The record is from RNAcentral. Lineage: Eukaryota; Viridiplantae; Streptophyta; Magnoliopsida; Poales; Poaceae.
CGCGGCAGGGCGUCUCACGCUCGAUCGCGCGACCGAGGCGAGGGCCGAGAAUGAACUACUACAACCAGCAGCAGGCGCCCGUGACAGCGUACCCGCCGGCGACCGCGCCCCCGCUUCCGGCGGGGCAGCCGUACGUGCAGCCGCCGCCGACGCAGGCGAGCCACGUGCAGCCCGCGCCGCCGCCGGGGUACCCUGGCAGCUUCAACGGUGGCAUGAUGAACCCUCCGCCACUCCAGGUGGUGGCGCCCCAGACGCAGAGCCGCGGCGACAAGACCUUCUGGGAAGGAUGCUGUGCAGCCCUUUGCUGCUGCUGCAUCCUGGACAUGUGCUGCUAAGCAAUCCCGGAGGAAGCAAUAGACCAAAAUAGUACCUGGAAGUAUCGAACGAACUACGGCAUGCUCUCCAU